CAGGCCAGUAAUUAAAAGAGUAAUUAGAGGAGGACUGAGAAGGAAGCUGUUUAGACCAUGCCAUAUUUCUUAGGCCCCAAGAAUCUUACAGAUGGACAGAUCUUCUCUUCAAAUCCUGCCGUUGCAGCCCAGAGAAAGAGACAGCCACUGGAGCAACACAUCCUCCUGAGGGAAAAUUCAGAAGACAAAUACUCCCUUCAACAAACAAGUCAGAUGACCCGUAAGUGAGGUGAACUCCAAGGCUAAGGUGGAUCCAGGGGCAGGACAAACUGUUCGCACGCCUAGCAUCUGUGGACUCUACCCUCCAAGCGCUUCCCCGGUCUUGUCGCGAGAACCAGAACCGUCGCUUUCAGGAACUCUCCAUACUACAGAAUCCAGAUAUUACUAUACCCAAAGUUAAAUCCAGCACCGGCUCUUAGCUGUUCUCACUCCAUCGAAAGUGCUCAUCCCAGAAUACAGAGCAAGAAUACUGGGAUAAAUAGCUUCUCCUUUGCAUUCUUCAUUGUUUAUAACUACAUAGAAUCCAUUGCAUCUGAGACAGUCUUCACAUCGGACUCAAGCUCAUUCUAUGAAAACUGCACUGUGUUUCUCUAGACACUAAACACUGACAGAACUAAGAGAUGCUAAUGGGUCCAGACAAGGAAGAGAAAAGCACACCGGAGUGUGGAGAGAGGUUGACCAACAUUGUCUUUCUCUUCUUGAACAUGUGGGAAGAGUAAAUUUCCAAACAUUCAGGGCAGUUAGGUGGGGACCCAUUACUGAGUUUUGGAAAGUGUGAGUUAGUUCAUCUAAGUGGCAUCCUCUGCUACCGGGCUGGGCCAACCAUCCCACUCCACAUCCAUCUUCUACACCCUGUCUCCAUGUGGUGUCCUGAAAGCAAAUAUCAUGAAACAGGAGAGCUAAAGAGUAGACUUCAAUAGGAAGAAGAGCUGUCAGACAGUGUUGUAUGACAUGAAAACAAGUCUAUAUAAACAGGCCAGAAAAAUGCUCUGUGCAAAGCCACUGGGAUUGUAGCUGUUAUAGAAGUGUGUCCCGUUUUGUCAUUGGUCUUGUGUCCCCAAUAUGCUGGAAUUUCAUCUCUAACUUAGUUAUUUUUCUAGUGAUAGCAGAAUAAUAAAGAUAGUUCAUCUUAAACAUGUGGCCUAUAAACGUGCUAGGAAACUGAUAUCUUAAGGGGUGACCCUUUUUUUAAAAAAAUAUUUUCUUUCUUCCUUCCUUCCUUCCUUGUUUGGUUUUGUUUUUUAAUGUUUUUGAAAAAUAAAGACGGAUGAAUAAUGUAGUGUACACACUUUUUGUAUGGAUUGUGAGUACAAUAAUUUUAUCUGUAAGUAGCCUUAGUGCUUGAACCACUAAAUUCAUUAAAU
Long non-coding RNA from Mus musculus (house mouse), 1364 nucleotides. RefSeq annotates it as predicted gene 13261. The record is from RefSeq and is a predicted model, not a curated record. The transcript is spliced from 4 exons. NCBI's taxonomy places the organism in Eukaryota, Metazoa, Chordata, Mammalia, Rodentia, Muridae.